CGGAGGUGGGCGGGACGGGGUGAAGUAAUGUCGUAGGAACUCGCCGAUGGAGGGGGAUAACUACUGGAAACGGUAGCUAAUACCGCAUAACGUCGCAAGACCAAAGAGGGGACCUUCGGGCCUCUUGCCAUCGGAUGUGCCCAGAUGGGAUUAGCUAGUAGGUGGGGUAACGGCUCACCUAGGCGACGAUCCCUAGCUGGUCUGAGAGGAUGACCAGCCACACUGGAACUGAGACACGGUCCAG
RNAcentral lists this ribosomal RNA (244 nucleotides) under uncultured bacterium. Its description in RNAcentral is "partial 16S ribosomal RNA". It matches the Rfam family "Bacterial small subunit ribosomal RNA", at positions 104 to 334 of the family's 1533-position model. The record is from RNAcentral.